RNAcentral lists this small RNA (334 nucleotides) under Drosophila pseudoobscura pseudoobscura. RNAcentral describes it as "GA32336". Lineage: Eukaryota; Metazoa; Arthropoda; Insecta; Diptera; Drosophilidae. The record is from RNAcentral.
CCCUCUAUUUAAACAGUUCAACGACUUGAGCCUGGAAUGACAAACAUUACCGAAAUUUUAUAAUAUUCAUUUCCCCCAGGGUAUGCAGAAUGUUGGCCAAUUUUCGGUUCUUGCUUUUAUUUGAGAUAUGGAAAAGUCACGGUUUUCUCAAAGCGACAUCUGGUGCAUGCCAUUAUAACUACGAUGACAGGGUUGACUUCAGUGUUAAAAGCAAACGGGAAUGGGCGCCAAAGCGAUUCAAUUUGAAAUCUUAAUUUGAAAUAAAACCGAUUAUAAAAUCUCUUUAUUUGAUAGCUUUAAACUAAACUCUUAUAAUUAAAGGAUGAAAGCUGCA